Leptopilina boulardi is the source of this 1433-nucleotide long non-coding RNA. RefSeq lists it as uncharacterized. Lineage: Eukaryota; Metazoa; Arthropoda; Insecta; Hymenoptera; Figitidae. The transcript is spliced from 5 exons. The record is from RefSeq and is a predicted model, not a curated record.
GUAGAGGUGGAAGGCCGCGAAAUUCUUUUUGGAAGGAAUUGUCGUAUGUUUUGGUGAAACUCGAUGGGAAAAAUGCAGCAUUUUGUCCUGGGUGCAAGAGAACUAUGACAAAUACUCCUUUUUCAUCAGUUUUCAAGCGUGAAAAUUUUAAACUUUGCCAAGGAAUUGCUUGGCGUUUUCGAUUUUGUGGAUUCAUAUCCAUAUACUUAUUUUUUAAAAGUUUUAAAAUAAUUAAUUUGUUGCUUUUCUGUGAUACUAAUAUUUGUUUACAUAUUUUUUAUUGAUCGCCAGACCGCCGCCAUAUUUUUUUACAUUUAUUACAGGUUUUUUACGUAUAUUACAUUUUUUACGUAAUAUACGUCAAAAACCUCGAGUGACGCGUCACUGUGCAACCCUGCUUCCGACCCGACAUAAUAGAGUUUCCGUACUCUGCAUUAUCAACUGAUCUUAAAUUAUAUUUUAUCUGCAGAUGGAAAGUUCUUCUUUAUCCACAUUACUAAUAUUCCAAGGACACUUUUUUUCAUCAUCAGGAAGGAAUUAAUUUCAAAAUUAAAAAGAAUUGGAAAUAGAAUUUUCAAAAAAUAUAUUAUUUUUUAUCUUUUUUGAUAAUCUGGAAAAUAUGGACUGUCUAUACGCAUACGAAGAUAGCUCUGGUGACUGAUUAUAUUUACUUCUGUAACGACCUACAUUCCAGAAUUAAAAUACGCUUUUGGAUUCGGGAUACAAUUUCUCGUUUCACGAUGAUGAAAGGAUUCAUGAACAUUGUUUUUAAUUCAGAUGGUCAAGAAACAAGAAAUUUUUUAGGAAAGUAGAAAUUUCAUAUAGUAAUUGAAUAUUUUAAAUCUAUUUUUUUCUUCUAAUUUGCAAAGAAAUUGAAAAUUUCACUCUAAAUUAUUCUAUUGUCAAUUUAAACUAUAUUUUUUUAAUAUAUUAUAAUUCAAAUUAUUUUUCAUGUUUUGUAAGGGAUAGUUUUAUUUAUGAUUUGAUUUCUUUCAGCAUUUCUAAUGACUUUGGAGAUUGCAAAAUAUUCAUGCCUUUUUGGAAGGAAAGAAAAAAAAGUCCUGCGUUCGACGAGAAUAGUGUGACUAACAACUAACAUCAAAUAAAGGGUCCAAGAAGUAGGUCAACAUUUAGAGGGAAGGGAAGAUCGCCCAACUAGUUCUGCAUUUGAUGAGAAGGAAUUGAGAAGGGAAAUUAAAAGUUUUGCCGAUGAUUUAAUUGACAAAAGGCGGAAGUCUUUUUUGGAAAUUUACCGCAUGAACCCUGAACUUUAAACAAGGAAAAUUUAUCAUAGCGUCAAGUGAUCAUCGUCGGGAACGUCAGAACUGGAAAAGCACGAGGCGGAUUUUGAAGGCGCGCAUACGGUGAAAGGAGAAAAUGAUACUUAUAUGUGUGAAUAAUGUGAGUAUAUAUACGUAUAUACACGUGUGGAA